Molecule: long non-coding RNA, 144 nt
Filed under: Monodelphis domestica (gray short-tailed opossum)
Lineage: Eukaryota; Metazoa; Chordata; Mammalia; Didelphimorphia; Didelphidae
Description: lncRNA (ENSMODG00000045573.1)
Source: RNAcentral
CCACCAAUAUUUGAGAAAUAACAGAAAAACAAUUUACCCCUUGGAAAUUGGAGAUGAGAUUGUUCACCGUUGGCUGUCCUGGUACUUGUCUGCCCUUUCCCCCAGAUUCUACACAAAUAUUCAAGCUCAGGAGAUUCGUGUUGU